RNAcentral lists this ribosomal RNA (513 nucleotides) under uncultured bacterium. Its description in RNAcentral is "partial 16S ribosomal RNA". It matches the Rfam family "Bacterial small subunit ribosomal RNA", at positions 28 to 523 of the family's 1533-position model. The record is from RNAcentral.
GAUGAACGCUGGCGGCGUGCCUAAUACAUGCAAGUCGAGCGAACAGACGAGGAGCUUGCUCCUCUGACGUUAGCGGUGGACGGGUGAGUAACACGUGGAUAACCUACCUAUAAGACUGGGAUAACUUCGGGAAACCGGAGCUAAUACCGGAUAACAUGUUGAACCGCAUGGUUCAACAGUGAAAGACGGUCUUGCUGUCACUUAUAGAUGGAUCCGCGCCGCAUUAGCUAGUUGGUAAGGUAACGGCUUACCAAGGCAACGAUGCGUAGCCGACCUGGGAGGGUGAUCGGCCACACUGGAACUGAGAAACGGGCCAGCGGCCUACGGGAGGCAGCAGUAGGGAAUCUUCCGCAAUGGGCGAAAGCCUGACGGAGCAACGCCGCGUGAGUGAAGAAGGUCUUCGGAUCGUAAAACUCUGUUAUUAGGGAAGAACAAAUGUGUAAGUAACUAUGCACGUCUUGACGGUACCUAAUCAGAAAGCCACGGCUAACUACGUGCCAGCCGCCGCCGUAA